GCUAGAUUAGCUUAUUUGGCAGAGCAACCGGUUGGUAUCCGGUAGAAAUGGGUUCAAUUCCCUUAUCUAGCUC
RNAcentral lists this transfer RNA (73 nucleotides) under bioreactor metagenome. Its description in RNAcentral is "tRNA-Thr". It matches the Rfam family "tRNA". From Rfam's summary of the family: Transfer RNA (tRNA) molecules are approximately 80 nucleotides in length. The record is from RNAcentral.